This 65-nucleotide transfer RNA is filed under the name Creontiades dilutus (green mirid). RNAcentral's name for it is "tRNA-Leu". It matches the Rfam family "tRNA". From Rfam's summary of the family: Transfer RNA (tRNA) molecules are approximately 80 nucleotides in length. Their secondary structure includes four short double-helical elements and three loops (D, anti-codon, and T loops). Lineage: Eukaryota; Metazoa; Arthropoda; Insecta; Hemiptera; Miridae. The record is from RNAcentral.
UCUAAUAUGGCAGAUAAAUGCUAUGGACUUAAAAUCCAUAUAUAAAGAUUAAUCUUUUAUUAGAA